GCUUAGCCUUAAACCUCAAUAGUUAUAUAACAAAACUAUUCGCCAGAAUACUACAAGCAACAGCUUGAAACUCAAAGGACUUGGCGGUGCUUUAUUCCCCCUAGAGGAGCCUGUUCCAUAAUCGAUAAACCCCGAUCCACCCCACCCUCUCUUGCUCAGCCUAUAUACCGCCAUCUUCAGCAAACCCUGAUAAAGGUUACAAAGUGAGCGCAAAUGCCCCCACCGCAAAAACGUUAGGUCAAGGUGUAGCCCAUGAGAUGGUAAAAAAUGGGCUACAUUUUCUACCUCAGAAAACCCUACGAUACCUCUUAUGAAAUCUAAGAGCCCAAGGAGGAUUUAGCAGUAAAUCAAGAAUAGAGUGCUUGAUUGAACUAGGCCAUGAAGCGCGU
RNAcentral lists this ribosomal RNA (389 nucleotides) under Cercocebus galeritus (Tana river mangabey). RNAcentral describes it as "12S ribosomal RNA". It matches the Rfam family "Bacterial small subunit ribosomal RNA", at positions 794 to 1384 of the family's 1533-position model. The record is from RNAcentral. Lineage: Eukaryota; Metazoa; Chordata; Mammalia; Primates; Cercopithecidae. RNAcentral also lists the same sequence under 1 other name.